Molecule: ribosomal RNA, 1408 nt
Filed under: Salmonella enterica
Lineage: Bacteria; Pseudomonadati; Pseudomonadota; Gammaproteobacteria; Enterobacterales; Enterobacteriaceae
Also listed under: 1 other name
Description: partial 16S ribosomal RNA
Rfam family: Bacterial small subunit ribosomal RNA
Source: RNAcentral
GUAAUGUCUGGGAAACUGCCUGAUGGAGGGGGAUAACUACUGGAAACGGUGGCUAAUACCGCAUAACGUCGCAAGACCAAAGAGGGGGACCUUCGGGCCUCUUGCCAUCAGAUGUGCCCAGAUGGGAUUAGCUUGUUGGUGAGGUAACGGCUCACCAAGGCGACGAUCCCUAGCUGGUCUGAGAGGAUGACCAGCCACACUGGAACUGAGACACGGUCCAGACUCCUACGGGAGGCAGCAGUGGGGAAUAUUGCACAAUGGGCGCAAGCCUGAUGCAGCCAUGCCGCGUGUAUGAAGAAGGCCUUCGGGUUGUAAAGUACUUUCAGCGGGGAGGAAGGUGUUGUGGUUAAUAACCGCAGCAAUUGACGUUACCCGCAGAAGAAGCACCGGCUAACUCCGUGCCAGCAGCCGCGGUAAUACGGAGGGUGCAAGCGUUAAUCGGAAUUACUGGGCGUAAAGCGCACGCAGGCGGUCUGUCAAGUCGGAUGUGAAAUCCCCGGGCUCAACCUGGGAACUGCAUUCGAAACUGGCAGGCUUGAGUCUUGUAGAGGGGGGUAGAAUUCCAGGUGUAGCGGUGAAAUGCGUAGAGAUCUGGAGGAAUACCGGUGGCGAAGGCGGCCCCCUGGACAAAGACUGACGCUCAGGUGCGAAAGCGUGGGGAGCAAACAGGAUUAGAUACCCUGGUAGUCCACGCCGUAAACGAUGUCUACUUGGAGGUUGUGCCCUUGAGGCGUGGCUUCCGGAGCUAACGCGUUAAGUAGACCGCCUGGGGAGUACGGCCGCAAGGUUAAAACUCAAAUGAAUUGACGGGGGCCCGCACAAGCGGUGGAGCAUGUGGUUUAAUUCGAUGCAACGCGAAGAACCUUACCUGGUCUUGACAUCCACGGAACUUUCCAGAGAUGGAUUGGUGCCUUCGGGAACCGUGAGACAGGUGCUGCAUGGCUGUCGUCAGCUCGUGUUGUGAAAUGUUGGGUUAAGUCCCGCAACGAGCGCAACCCUUAUCCUUUGUUGCCAGCGGUCCGGCCGGGAACUCAAAGGAGACUGCCAGUGAUAAACUGGAGGAAGGUGGGGAUGACGUCAAGUCAUCAUGGCCCUUACGACCAGGGCUACACACGUGCUACAAUGGCGCAUACAAAGAGAAGCGACCUCGCGAGAGCAAGCGGACCUCAUAAAGUGCGUCGUAGUCCGGAUUGGAGUCUGCAACUCGACUCCAUGAAGUCGGAAUCGCUAGUAAUCGUGGAUCAGAAUGCCACGGUGAAUACGUUCCCGGGCCUUGUACACACCGCCCGUCACACCAUGGGAGUGGGUUGCAAAAGAAGUAGGUAGCUUAACCUUCGGGAGGGCGCUUACCACUUUGUGAUUCAUGACUGGGGUGAAGUCGUAACAAGGUAACCGUAGGGGAACCUGC